AGACGAACCGUACGAACGUUAUUCGGAAUUACUGGGCUUAAAGGGUGCGUAGGCUGCACGGAAAGUUGGGUGUGAAAGCCCUCAGCUCAACUGAGGAAUUGCAUCCAAAACUGCCGUGCUUGAGGGAGACAGAGGUGAGCGGAACUCAAGGUGGAGCGGUGAAAUGCGUUGAUAUCUUGAGGAACACCGGUGGCGAAAGCGGCUCACUGGGUCUCUUCUGACGCUGAGGCACGAAAGCUAAGGUAGCAAACGGGAUUAGAAACCCCAGUAGUCC
This 274-nucleotide ribosomal RNA is filed under the name uncultured bacterium. RNAcentral's name for it is "partial 16S ribosomal RNA". It matches the Rfam family "Bacterial small subunit ribosomal RNA", at positions 523 to 796 of the family's 1533-position model. The record is from RNAcentral.